AGCAUGUGACAUAGUGCCUGACAAAUACUCAGUAAGUUGUAGGAGGUGCUAUUAUUACCAAUGUCAUCAUGAUUCAUACAUUUCUUUUCUCUCCACUUUGGCUUGACAUGUGGAUACAUGAGGCCGGUAGGAAGAAGUCACCCAUGACUAUCUGGAACAACAUGGUGGGGAAGGCCAAGUUUCUGGUCACUCUCCAUCUUUUCCGCCAGUGCCCAACGGACUGAUCUUUACAGAUGGUGUCAACAGAUGCAUCUACCCUCUGGCUUCAAGUUGAGUUGGCCAAUGAAGGGAGGCGCUGCGGAAAGCACAUGACAUUUGCAGUUGUGGGCGACUGUGCUGUGGGAUGAAACCAGGCUCCUCAUCAAGAUGAACAUAGAUUCAAGUCUCCAUCUUAGCCAUUUCCUAGAUCUGUGAUUAUAAAUAAACUCCCUG
RNAcentral lists this long non-coding RNA (432 nucleotides) under Pan troglodytes (chimpanzee). RNAcentral's name for it is "long non-coding RNA NONPTRT012834". Lineage: Eukaryota; Metazoa; Chordata; Mammalia; Primates; Hominidae. The record is from RNAcentral.